This 75-nucleotide transfer RNA is filed under the name Alphaproteobacteria bacterium. RNAcentral's name for it is "tRNA-Val". It matches the Rfam family "tRNA". From Rfam's summary of the family: Transfer RNA (tRNA) molecules are approximately 80 nucleotides in length. Their secondary structure includes four short double-helical elements and three loops (D, anti-codon, and T loops). Lineage: Bacteria; Pseudomonadati; Pseudomonadota; Alphaproteobacteria. The record is from RNAcentral.
GGUCGGUUAGCUCAGUGGUAGAGCACUACCUUGACAUGGUAGGGGUCACAAGUUCGAACCUUGUACCGACCACCA